GACUUCUGGUUUAAUGCACCUGGCCCGCGGCCGUAAGGCCUGUGAGUGCCGGCGCGCGUUUACCAUCCUUCUAGAAAACGGGUCUUCCCUUAACUGGGCCGGAUUCGAGAUCUAGAUCAUUUACUUUGAAAAAAUUAGAGUGUUUAAAGCAGGCUAUUGCUAUGAAUACAUUAGCAUGGAAUAAUAAUAUAGGACUUUGGUUCUAUUUUGUUGGUUUCUAGGACUAAAGUAAUGAUUGAUAGGGAUAGUUGGGGGUGCUAGUAUUCAGAGGCCAGAGGUGAAAUUCUUGGAUUCUCUGAAGACUAACUACUGCGAAAGCAUU
RNAcentral lists this ribosomal RNA (322 nucleotides) under uncultured Rhogostoma. RNAcentral describes it as "SSU rRNA". The stretch from base 55 to 322 matches the Rfam family "Eukaryotic small subunit ribosomal RNA", at positions 686 to 955 of the family's 1831-position model. Lineage: Eukaryota; Cercozoa; Thecofilosea; Cryomonadida. The record is from RNAcentral.